AAUAAAAAAAUUUAGUUAAAAUUUAUAACAUUAGCUUGUCAAGCUAAAAUUAUUAUUAUAAUAAUAAUUUUUA
RNAcentral lists this transfer RNA (73 nucleotides) under Callosobruchus maculatus (cowpea weevil). Its description in RNAcentral is "tRNA-Asp". It matches the Rfam family "tRNA". From Rfam's summary of the family: Transfer RNA (tRNA) molecules are approximately 80 nucleotides in length. Their secondary structure includes four short double-helical elements and three loops (D, anti-codon, and T loops). Further hydrogen bonds mediate the characteristic L-shaped molecular structure. tRNAs have two regions of fundamental functional importance: the anti-codon, which is responsible for specific mRNA codon recognition, and the 3' end, to which the tRNAs corresponding amino acid is attached (by aminoacyl-tRNA synthetases). tRNAs cope with the degeneracy of the genetic code in two manners: having more than one tRNA (with a specific anti-codon) for a particular amino acid; and 'wobble' base-pairing, i.e. permitting non-standard base-pairing at the 3rd anti-codon position. The record is from RNAcentral. Lineage: Eukaryota; Metazoa; Arthropoda; Insecta; Coleoptera; Chrysomelidae.